This 71-nucleotide transfer RNA is filed under the name Camelus bactrianus (Bactrian camel). It matches the Rfam family "tRNA". Rfam says of the family: Transfer RNA (tRNA) molecules are approximately 80 nucleotides in length. Their secondary structure includes four short double-helical elements and three loops (D, anti-codon, and T loops). RNAcentral also lists the same sequence under 1 other name. The record is from Rfam by way of RNAcentral. Lineage: Eukaryota; Metazoa; Chordata; Mammalia; Artiodactyla; Camelidae.
GAGGGUAUAGCUCAAUGGUAGAGUGUGUGCUUAGCAUGCACGAGGUCCUGGGUUCACUCCCCAGUACUCCA